GAUGAAGAACGUAGCGAAAUGCGAUAAGUAAUGUGAAUUGCAGAAUUCAGUGAAUCAUCGAAUCUUUGAACGCACAUUGCGCCCGCCAGUAUUCUGGCGGGCAUGCCUGUUCGAGCGUCAUUUCAACCAUCAAGCCCUGCUUGCGUUGGGGUCCUGCGGCUGCCCGCAGGCCCUGAAAACCAGUGGCGGGCUCGCUAGUCACACCGAGCGCAGUAAUACAUCUCGCUUUGGGCGUGCGGCGGGUUCUUGCCGUUAAACACCCCCUUUUUACCAAGGUUGACCUCGGAUCAGGUAGGAAUACCCGCUGAACUUAAGCAUAUCAAUAAACGGAGGA
Molecule: unclassified non-coding RNA, 334 nt
Filed under: soil metagenome
Description: partial contains 5.8S ribosomal RNA, internal transcribed spacer 2, and large subunit ribosomal RNA
Rfam family: 5.8S ribosomal RNA (bases 1-120)
Source: RNAcentral